AGAUUCUGGUAGAUCUGUGGUGUAUAUAUGUCUAACACGGCUCCACAAGGCCUCCCAACGGUAUCGCAUGGUUCUUUGUGGAUACAUCAAGGAUCCGUGGGUAGCUCGAGGGUAACAGGUGGUUAGCUCAGAGGUACCAAUCUAAAGCCGGUGUGUACGUGUCUACUUACGGCUGCAUGAGGAAUCUCAAUGGUAUUGAAUUUUC
Molecule: long non-coding RNA, 205 nt
Organism: Vanessa tameamea
Lineage: Eukaryota; Metazoa; Arthropoda; Insecta; Lepidoptera; Nymphalidae
Exons: 2
Source: RefSeq, a predicted model, not a curated record